This is a long non-coding RNA of Myotis daubentonii (Daubenton's bat), 808 nucleotides long. RefSeq lists it as uncharacterized. The record is from RefSeq and is a predicted model, not a curated record. Lineage: Eukaryota; Metazoa; Chordata; Mammalia; Chiroptera; Vespertilionidae.
AAAUCAAGAAAUAAUUUGAGCGAUUUUGAUAUUUGUUAUUCCCCAAGAAAGCACCCAAGUCAUCAUGGGAAAACCAGAAACUUGUUUAGCAUCCUAGUACUUACUUUAUUUUAUAAUUUACUAUUGUUUAUUUUAUGUUACAGAUCCUUGGGGGCCCAUGACCUUUUCAGUUUUAGUGCCACUAAAAGUUUUAAGCUGGUCUUGAGUGCAGCUGGUUUAGUUUAAGGCUGAGGGAAUCGUGCUGGGAUGGCUCCUGGGCCCCGCAGCUCUGCCUCGAGCCCAUCUGUGGGGUAACUUGAUUCAGGGCCUCCUCAGGAGCUAAUCCCAUUUUUAUUAAAAUUCUUACCCAUGGGCCUGGGAUAAUGGUCGUGGCUUUGCCUCUCAGCUCCACAGCAAGGUUGGUUGGUUGGUGGUUGUUUAAGUGAGUAAUUACUGAAGUAGAUGAGUGCCACCCCUGGACGUGGACCAAAAUAGCAAUGAGCCAACUGCUGCUUCCCAGUUCAGGAGCUGAAACUGUGCCUGGCAAAGGCUCCUGGGAGGCUCUGUGGUGGGGCUGGCUCCCUGCUGUGCCAGGAAGACAUGGGCCCGCCUCCCGUUCCGUGAGUGACACUUACAUGGUAGGACUCAUUGGUAACAAUGAUGGAAACUAAUGCCUUUGCUUUUCACUGACAAAGCUAGGCUAUUGCAGGAAACUCAAUGUUGAAUAUUUUCGGAGACUUUGAGACCUUCCAGCCCCAUGUUUGACCUUGUUGAGAAGUUCCCUAAACCUAAGAGAGAGAUGAGAACAACCUAUGGUUUCCACUGUGAG